UACGUAGGGGGCAAGCGUUGUCCGGAAUCAUUGGGCGUAAAGAGCGCGUAGGCGGCCCUGUAAGUCCGCUGUGAAAGUCAAGGGCUCAACCCUGGGAUGCCGGUGGAUACUGUCGGGCUCGAGUCCGGAAGAGGCGAGUGGAAUUCCUGGUGUAGCGGUGAAAUGCGCAGAUAUCAGGAGGAACACCAAUGGCGAAGGCAGCUCGCUGGGACGUGACUGACGCUGAGACGCGAAAGCGUGGGGAGCAAACAGG
RNAcentral lists this ribosomal RNA (253 nucleotides) under uncultured bacterium. RNAcentral describes it as "partial 16S ribosomal RNA". It matches the Rfam family "Bacterial small subunit ribosomal RNA", at positions 524 to 776 of the family's 1533-position model. The record is from RNAcentral.